AUGGGCUGCACCUUGCAAGCCAGUUCCCGAUAUCCCGGGCCCUGUUUAGGAGCUCGGAGGGGAAUGCCACAUUUCGCAAGAGCUGGAGCCAGCCCUACCCACUCUGCCUUUGCCUUCACCCAUUUUCAAGCAAGACUGGUGUCCCAAUUCACCAGGAGAAAAAUGGGCAACCACAACCUGCUGAGGAGAUGCAAGCAGCCGGACACCAGCCCUGAAAUGCCCAACCUGCCCAGGCCCAGCUUUUCAGGCUCCAGCUUUUCACUGAGCAGGAGCUCUUGGUUUUGGGACCUGCCUCCCAGCAGGGGUAAGGAACAGGCAAAACGCCACAGCCCGAAACAGAAGGAUGUCAUUUCCCAACCCUGGCUGCUUCUCUGCUGCUGACAGACGGCACCCAGACAGCAGAGAGGCUGGAGGAGGCUGCUCUUCUGCUGGAGCAGAUAGAAGUAAUUAGUCAAAUCACUGCAGCGCAGAGAGGGACGCUGGCCCAUCUCCCGUCAGGCAGCAAAUGACUCAUUGCAUGACAACUUCAGUAAAGGGGUAUUAUUGUUUUUUUUCUUCUACUUAUUUAUUUAUUUAUUUAUUUAUUUAUUUAUUCCUCUCCCUGUUCCACUUUCAACAGGGAAACAAAGAGCUGAAUUUUCCAAAAGGCCACCAAGGUUCUUGUCUGGGAGCCUAGCCUCCCGGGUCUCCUAAGGCCACUGAGGCAGUCACCGCUUGAAUGAAUGUCAUCCAUCUAUGUAGGGAUGGAGACAAAAAGCACUGCUGCCCCUUCAAGAUGUGGUGAGUUGGCGGGCAGAAAGGGGUGGUCAUUCGCAGGCUUGGUUGACCCAGUGACUAACAUCUGACCUCCUCAAAGCCCUCCACAGAUCUGUUACAGAGGCCUGAGAAAUGCAAAUAAUGACACAUUUUAUUACUUCUCCUUGAUACUUGCUUAGGGGUAUGUUUUACCCCAUCUGAGACAUAUUUCCAUGUUCCUCCUCCUCCAUUUGGCAGUGAUGGAGCAGAGGAAAGGCCUGGAUGGACAUAUUUACACCAUUCAUGGACCAAGCAGUGCUGGAUCCCUCUGGGAUCACCAGCCCUGGCAGCUCACCACCUCCAAUCCCCCCAACCUCUGUAUCCACCAGGCCACUACCAGCAGUGGGGGGAGCACACACCAUGAAGAACAGACCCCAGAGCACCACUGGCUGGAAGAGCAUUUUCCCAACAAGCAGAAACAAAUGGAAACGUGCCCUCAUACUUUCUACAUCAUUUCCAAGUGAGGGACGAGCAGCGAGCACCGUGUUUGCAGAAAGCUGGCUUCCUCAGCCAAAUUUCGUCCACUGACGUGCCUCAUCAGUGCAAAGGUCUUUUGUACUGUGGGGUUCAGCGCUCUCCUGUCCCA
Molecule: long non-coding RNA, 1381 nt
Filed under: Anser brachyrhynchus (Pink-footed goose)
Lineage: Eukaryota; Metazoa; Chordata; Aves; Anseriformes; Anatidae
Description: lncRNA (ENSABRG00000001752.1)
Source: RNAcentral